Molecule: ribosomal RNA, 2918 nt
Filed under: Staphylococcus aureus
Lineage: Bacteria; Bacillati; Bacillota; Bacilli; Caryophanales; Staphylococcaceae
Description: bacterial LSU rRNA
Rfam family: Bacterial large subunit ribosomal RNA
Source: RNAcentral
UAAGUUAUUAAGGGCGCACGGUGGAUGCCUUGGCACUAGAAGCCGAUGAAGGACGUUACUAACGACGAUAUGCUUUGGGGAGCUGUAAGUAAGCUUUGAUCCAGAGAUUUCCGAAUGGGGAAACCCAGCAUGAGUUAUGUCAUGUUAUCGAUAUGUGAAUACAUAGCAUAUCAGAAGGCACACCCGGAGAACUGAAACAUCUUAGUACCCGGAGGAAGAGAAAGAAAAUUCGAUUCCCUUAGUAGCGGCGAGCGAAACGGGAAGAGCCCAAACCAACAAGCUUGCUUGUUGGGGUUGUAGGACACUCUAUACGGAGUUACAAAGGACGACAUUAGACGAAUCAUCUGGAAAGAUGAAUCAAAGAAGGUAAUAAUCCUGUAGUCGAAAAUGUUGUCUCUCUUGAGUGGAUCCUGAGUACGACGGAGCACGUGAAAUUCCGUCGGAAUCUGGGAGGACCAUCUCCUAAGGCUAAAUACUCUCUAGUGACCGAUAGUGAACCAGUACCGUGAGGGAAAGGUGAAAAGCACCCCGGAAGGGGAGUGAAAUAGAACCUGAAACCGUGUGCUUACAAGUAGUCAGAGCCCGUUAAUGGGUGAUGGCGUGCCUUUUGUAGAAUGAACCGGCGAGUUACGAUUUGAUGCAAGGUUAAGCAGUAAAUGUGGAGCCGUAGCGAAAGCGAGUCUGAAUAGGGCGUUUAGUAUUUGGUCGUAGACCCGAAACCAGGUGAUCUACCCUUGGUCAGGUUGAAGUUCAGGUAACACUGAAUGGAGGACCGAACCGACUUACGUUGAAAAGUGAGCGGAUGAACUGAGGGUAGCGGAGAAAUUCCAAUCGAACCUGGAGAUAGCUGGUUCUCUCCGAAAUAGCUUUAGGGCUAGCCUCAAGUGAUGAUUAUUGGAGGUAGAGCACUGUUUGGACGAGGGGCCCCUCUCGGGUUACCGAAUUCAGACAAACUCCGAAUGCCAAUUAAUUUAACUUGGGAGUCAGAACAUGGGUGAUAAGGUCCGUGUUCGAAAGGGAAACAGCCCAGACCACCAGCUAAGGUCCCAAAAUAUAUGUUAAGUGGAAAAGGAUGUGGCGUUGCCCAGACAACUAGGAUGUUGGCUUAGAAGCAGCCAUCAUUUAAAGAGUGCGUAAUAGCUCACUAGUCGAGUGACACUGCGCCGAAAAUGUACCGGGGCUAAACAUAUUACCGAAGCUGUGGAUUGUCCUUUGGACAAUGGUAGGAGAGCGUUCUAAGGGCGUUGAAGCAUGAUCGUAAGGACAUGUGGAGCGCUUAGAAGUGAGAAUGCCGGUGUGAGUAGCGAAAGACGGGUGAGAAUCCCGUCCACCGAUUGACUAAGGUUUCCAGAGGAAGGCUCGUCCGCUCUGGGUUAGUCGGGUCCUAAGCUGAGGCCGACAGGCGUAGGCGAUGGAUAACAGGUUGAUAUUCCUGUACCACCUAUAAUCGUUUUAAUCGAUGGGGGACGCAGUAGGAUAGGCGAAGCGUGCGAUUGGAUUGCACGUCUAAGCAGUAAGGCUGAGUAUUAGGCAAAUCCGGUACUCGUUAAGGCUGAGCUGUGAUGGGGAGAAGACAUUGUGUCUUCGAGUCGUUGAUUUCACACUGCCGAGAAAAGCCUCUAGAUAGAAAAUAGGUGCCCGUACCGCAAACCGACACAGGUAGUCAAGAUGAGAAUUCUAAGGUGAGCGAGCGAACUCUCGUUAAGGAACUCGGCAAAAUGACCCCGUAACUUCGGGAGAAGGGGUGCUCUUUAGGGUUAACGCCCAGAAGAGCCGCAGUGAAUAGGCCCAAGCGACUGUUUAUCAAAAACACAGGUCUCUGCUAAACCGUAAGGUGAUGUAUAGGGGCUGACGCCUGCCCGGUGCUGGAAGGUUAAGAGGAGUGGUUAGCUUCUGCGAAGCUACGAAUCGAAGCCCCAGUAAACGGCGGCCGUAACUAUAACGGUCCUAAGGUAGCGAAAUUCCUUGUCGGGUAAGUUCCGACCCGCACGAAAGGCGUAACGAUUUGGGCACUGUCUCAACGAGAGACUCGGUGAAAUCAUAGUACCUGUGAAGAUGCAGGUUACCCGCGACAGGACGGAAAGACCCCGUGGAGCUUUACUGUAGCCUGAUAUUGAAAUUCGGCACAGCUUGUACAGGAUAGGUAGGAGCCUUUGAAACGUGAGCGCUAGCUUACGUGGAGGCGCUGGUGGGAUACUACCCUAGCUGUGUUGGCUUUCUAACCCGCACCACUUAUCGUGGUGGGAGACAGUGUCAGGCGGGCAGUUUGACUGGGGCGGUCGCCUCCUAAAAGGUAACGGAGGCGCUCAAAGGUUCCCUCAGAAUGGUUGGAAAUCAUUCAUAGAGUGUAAAGGCAUAAGGGAGCUUGACUGCGAGACCUACAAGUCGAGCAGGGUCGAAAGACGGACUUAGUGAUCCGGUGGUUCCGCAUGGAAGGGCCAUCGCUCAACGGAUAAAAGCUACCCCGGGGAUAACAGGCUUAUCUCCCCCAAGAGUUCACAUCGACGGGGAGGUUUGGCACCUCGAUGUCGGCUCAUCGCAUCCUGGGGCUGUAGUCGGUCCCAAGGGUUGGGCUGUUCGCCCAUUAAAGCGGUACGCGAGCUGGGUUCAGAACGUCGUGAGACAGUUCGGUCCCUAUCCGUCGUGGGCGUAGGAAAUUUGAGAGGAGCUGUCCUUAGUACGAGAGGACCGGGAUGGACAUACCUCUGGUGUACCAGUUGUCGUGCCAACGGCAUAGCUGGGUAGCUAUGUGUGGACGGGAUAAGUGCUGAAAGCAUCUAAGCAUGAAGCCCCCCUCAAGAUGAGAUUUCCCAACUUCGGUUAUAAGAUCCCUCAAAGAUGAUGAGGUUAAUAGGUUCGAGGUGGAAGCAUGGUGACAUGUGGAGCUGACGAAUACUAAUCGAUCGAAGACUUAAUCA